GGGGUUGUGGCUCAGUGAUAGAAUGCUUACCUAGCACGUGAGAGGCACUGGGUUCAAACCCCAGCACCACA
This 71-nucleotide transfer RNA is filed under the name Marmota monax (woodchuck). Its description in RNAcentral is "tRNA.Ala". It matches the Rfam family "tRNA". From Rfam's summary of the family: Transfer RNA (tRNA) molecules are approximately 80 nucleotides in length. Lineage: Eukaryota; Metazoa; Chordata; Mammalia; Rodentia; Sciuridae. The record is from RNAcentral.